RNAcentral lists this long non-coding RNA (537 nucleotides) under Homo sapiens (human). RNAcentral's name for it is "non-protein coding lnc-FSD2-2:2". Lineage: Eukaryota; Metazoa; Chordata; Mammalia; Primates; Hominidae. The record is from RNAcentral.
GCUAUAUAAUGAGGACUAAGUCAACCUCUGCAUAUAAAAACAUGACACAGGGCUGGGACAUAACUCUCAAAGGGAUACUGCUGAAUAGGUACAAUGCUAUGCAAUGAAUUGUGACCCCCCAAAUUCAUGUGUCGAAGCCCUAACCCCCAAUAUGAUGGUAUAUGAAGAUGAAACCUUUGGGAGGUCAUUAUGUUUAGAUGAGAUCAUAAAGGUGGGGUCUCAUAAUAGUUUUAGUGCCCUUAAGAGACACCAGAGAACUUGCUUCUCUCUCUCUCUCCCUGCCAUGCAAGCACACAGCAAGAAGGAGGCCAUCAGCAAACUGGGAAGAGGACCCUCACCAGGAACCACAUCUGCCAGCACCUUGAUCUUGAACUUCUCAGCCUCCAGAACGGUAAAUCAGACACCGCCUAUUCACCAGCUCAUCUAUAAAACCCCCUGCAUUUCACCGCAGAACUGGAACCUAUUUUACCAGGACCCCUCUCUGCAGCAGAGAGCUCUUCUCUUUCUUUCGCCUAUUAAACUUCCACUCUUAACCUC